This is a non-coding RNA of Peromyscus maniculatus bairdii (prairie deer mouse), 450 nucleotides long. The record is from RefSeq and is a predicted model, not a curated record. Lineage: Eukaryota; Metazoa; Chordata; Mammalia; Rodentia; Cricetidae.
GGGAAGUUUUUGUCUUGGCUCCCUCCAUCUAGGUUACUCUCGAUUUAGGACUGAAAACACCUAACUGGACUUCAGAGUCAAUCAUCCAGUGAGUUUCGGGAGACCUCAAUCUCAGAUGCUGGCAGCUUCUGAGAUUUGGAGUCUUACAUGACAACUCAGCUGAUCAGGAACUUGACUUUCUCUGUAUCUCUACAACCGACCUCACUGUGCACACGAGCUCCCAUAUCAACAGAUGGAGGAAAUGGCCAAAUCUUGCUGCUUCUUCAAGGAAGUGUGCUAAGUUUCAUCUACCUUCUCUAAGCUCUGGGAGCUGGAGCUGGAGUUUGACUCUCUGAGACUACUCUUCUAUUUGACACGCAGCCACACUGAACUGAUUGUAGUGAAGAGGGGCCAUUGAAUGAAGGAUGCUCCAUGUAGAAGCUCAGGAUAAUAAGUGUGUAUGGUACAAGA